Molecule: ribosomal RNA, 408 nt
Filed under: uncultured Janthinobacterium sp.
Lineage: Bacteria; Pseudomonadati; Pseudomonadota; Betaproteobacteria; Burkholderiales; Oxalobacteraceae
Description: bacterial SSU rRNA
Rfam family: Bacterial small subunit ribosomal RNA
Source: RNAcentral
GGAGGUGGGGGAGUAACGUAGACGAAAGUUACGCUAAUACCGCAUACGAUCUACGGAUAGAAAGUGGGGGAUCGCAAGACCUCAUGCUCGUGGAGCGGCCGAUAUCUGAUUAGCUAGUUGGGUAGGGGUAAAAGCCUACCAAGGCAUCGAUCAGUAGCUGGUCUGAGAGGACGACCAGCCACACUGGAACUGAGACACGGUCCAGACUCCUACGGGAGGCAGCAGUGGGGGAAUUUUGGACAAUGGGCGAAAGCCUGAUCCAGCAAUGCCGCGUGAGUGAAGAAGGCCUUCGGGUUGUAAAGCUCUUUGUCAGGGAAGAAACGGUGAGGGGCUAAUAUCCCUUGCUAAUGACGGUACCUGAAGAAUAAGCACCGGGCUAACUACGUGCCCAGCAGCCGCGGGUAAAUA